This 497-nucleotide ribosomal RNA is filed under the name uncultured bacterium. RNAcentral's name for it is "partial 16S ribosomal RNA". It matches the Rfam family "Bacterial small subunit ribosomal RNA", at positions 28 to 507 of the family's 1533-position model. The record is from RNAcentral.
GAUGAACGCUGGCGGCGUGCCUAAUACAUGCAAGUCGAGCGAACAGACGAGGAGCUUGCUCCUCUGACGUUAGCGGCGGACGGGUGAGUAACACGUGGAUAACCUACCUAUAAGACUGGGAUAACUUCGGGAAACCGGAGCUAAUACCGGAUAAUAUAUUGAACCGCAUGGUUCAAUAGUGAAAGACGGUUUUGCUGUCACUUAUAGAUGGAUCCGCGCCGCAUUAGCUAGUUGAUAAGGUAACGGCUUACCAAGGCAACGAUGCGUAGCCGACCUGAGAGGGUGAUCGGCCACACUGGAACUGAGACACGGUCCAGACUCCUACGGGAGGCAGCAGUAGGGAAUCUUCCGCAAAGGGCGAAAGCCUGACGGAGCAACGCCGCGUGAGUGAUGAAGGUCUUCGGAUCGUAAAACUCUGUUAUUAGGGAAGAACAAAUGUGUAAGUAACUAUGCACGUCUUGACGGUACCUAAUCAGAAAGCCACGGCUAACUACGUG